CAAUAGCGUAUAUUAAAGUUGUUGCGGUUAAAAAGCUCGUAGUUGGAUUUCUGCCGAGGACGACCGGUCCGCCCUCUGGGUGAGUAUCUGGCUCGGCCUGGGCAUCUUCUUGGAGAACGUAGCUGCACUUGACUGUGUGGUGCGGUAUCCAGGACUUUUACUUUGAGGAAAUUAGAGUGUUUCAAGCAGGCUUACGCCUUGAAUACAUUAGCAUGGAAUAAUAAGAUAGGACCUCGGUUCUAUUUUGUUGGUUUCUAGAGCUGAGGUAAUGAUUAAUAGGGAUAGUUGGGGGCAUUCGUAUUUAACUGUCAGAGGUGAAAUUCUUGGAUUUGUUAAAGACGGACUACUGCGAAGGCAUUUGCCAAGGAUGUUUUCAUUG
RNAcentral lists this ribosomal RNA (379 nucleotides) under uncultured eukaryote. RNAcentral's name for it is "partial 18S ribosomal RNA". It matches the Rfam family "Eukaryotic small subunit ribosomal RNA", at positions 592 to 975 of the family's 1831-position model. The record is from RNAcentral.